RNAcentral lists this ribosomal RNA (447 nucleotides) under uncultured Actinomycetes bacterium. RNAcentral describes it as "bacterial SSU rRNA". It matches the Rfam family "Bacterial small subunit ribosomal RNA", at positions 955 to 1395 of the family's 1533-position model. The record is from RNAcentral. Lineage: Bacteria; Bacillati; Actinomycetota; Actinomycetes.
AUUAACGCGAAGAACCUUACCAAGGCUUGACAUAUACCGGAAACACCUAGAGAUAGGUGCCCCCUUGUGGUCGGUAUACAGGUGGUGCAUGGCUGUCGUCAGCUCGUGUCGUGAGAUGUUGGGUUAAGUCCCGCAACGAGCGCAACCCUUGUCCUGUGUUGCCAGCAUGCCCUUCGGGGUGAUGGGGACUCACAGGAGGCCGCCGGGGUCAACUCGGAGGAAGGUGGGGACGACGUCAAGUCAUCAUGCCCCUUAUGUCUUGGGCUGCACACGUGCUACAAUGGCCGGUACAAUGAGCUGCGAUGCCGCGAGGCGGAGCGAAUCUCAAAAAGCCGGUCUCAGUUCGGAUUGGGGUCUGCAACUCGACCCCAUGAAGUCGGAGUUGCUAGUAAUCGCAGAUCAGCAUUGCUGCGGUGAAUACGUUCCCGGGCCUUGUACACACCGAAU